AGAGGCUUCUUUCCCGUCCUCCCCCAUUCUUCUGGUACCGCCCUCAUCCCAUAAGAACCACAGAGAUAACCAAAGGCUAGACUGACAAAACAUGACUCUUUUCUUAUUCUUAUUUUGUAGAUUCCACCCCACCCACCCCCACAGAGGGGCCCAUGAAACCAGUGGAGAGAGGACUUCAAGCUCCAUUUCAGGCCCACCCACAGCUACAAGCAAAGCAUUACCAAUAAUCAGGCAAUCUUUCUGAAGAACUUUGAAAACAAAAUCAUGCUUUCAAGAUCUGAGACAAAAAAUAAGGAAUCCUAUGAGCUGCAAAGACAAAUCAACAGAAGAAUGUUGCUGUUGAAGCAAAUCCUCCCCCCACAACCCUUCUUACAUAACCUUCUGAUCUAGUCUGAGUUUGGAAAGUCACCUAGAAACUUAAAAGAAAACAAAGCUAGCAAUUUUUGCAAUUGUUUCUUUUAUACUAUAGGCACAUUGCUUCCCCACCCCCCGCCACCCAUUCCCUUCAGAAAGUAGGUUAUCUGGCCAACAGAGAUAAAGAUCUUGUUUAGUAAAUUCAUGGGUAACCAAAAUGAUCAGCACAUAAAGAUUGAAGGUUUUCGUUCCUUAAUGUAAAGGGGUAUGACAAAAAUAGGUGAAGAUCUAAACUGUGGCAAUGUUAUUUCUUUUCUAACAUCUUUAUGUAAACAGCCAUGCUAAAAUGACAUAGCUUUUUAAACUCUGAAGAUGUCAAGUCUGCUUUCUCAGGGCUUGUAUUUUUCCUCCUCCACUUGUACCCCUGCUAACCAGGCAAAAAGAGUCACUUUUUAAAUGUGGCAAUUCUCUUUAUUUAGCAGAGAGCAACUGGCCAUAUGCACCCACAGCACAGUACCCCUACAGUGACUGUUGCUGGUGUCUGUCUUAUGUUUCUUUUUAGAUUGUGAGCCUGUUGGGGACAGGGAUCCAUCUUAUUUAUUAUUUCUCUAUGUAAACCUCUUGGGAGACUUUUGUAAAAAGUGGUAUAUAAAUGUUGUAUGUUGUGAAUUUUAUUUUAUUUUAGCUUUUUACCUAAGGGUUAUGCAUCUAAUUUCAGCAAGAGUAUAAAUUUGCAUUUUUAAAAAUUGUUUCUAGUCAAUGACUCCCAAGUAUUCAUAAAGGCUGCCAUGUUUUUUAACAUAUAGGGAACAGUUCAGAUCAUGCUGUGAUUAUUAAUAUGCUCAGUGACAUGAUGUCACACACAUGUGUCUGUAAUCAUGUUUUGUUGCACUGUAAGACACAUUGUCAUUCUAUAACGCUGUCUUAUUUCUGGAGGAUUGUAUCAUUAAAUCUGUAAAUUCAGUUGAUAAAAUGUCUGUGGCGAUGAUGCAGAAGUGAAAUUUGCACAAGGGAGAAAAAUAAUAAAGAAUGCAAAAUAAA
Long non-coding RNA from Hemicordylus capensis (graceful crag lizard), 1395 nucleotides. RefSeq lists it as uncharacterized. The transcript has 3 exons. The record is from RefSeq and is a predicted model, not a curated record. Lineage: Eukaryota; Metazoa; Chordata; Lepidosauria; Squamata; Cordylidae.